UUUACACUGCACGCCAGUGCGAUAAGGGGACUCCGAGUGCGAGGGCAUACAGUCCUCGCUUUUCUGGACCGUAGGGAGGUCCAAGAAUAAGGGCUGGGCAAGACCGGUGCCAGCCGCCGCGGUAAUACCGGCAGCCCAAGUGAUGGCCGAUAUUAUUGGGCCUAAAGCGUCCGUAGCUGGCCAGACAAGUCUGUUGGGAAAUCCACGCGCUCAACGCGUGGGCGUCCAGCGGAAACUGUCUGGCUUGGGGGCCGGAGGACUCGAGGGGUACGUCCGGGGUAGGAGUGAAAUCCCGUAAUCCUGGACGGACCACCGGUGGCGAAAGCGCCUCGAGAGGACGGACCCGACAGUGAGGGACGAAAGCCAGGGUC
RNAcentral lists this ribosomal RNA (371 nucleotides) under uncultured haloarchaeon. RNAcentral describes it as "bacterial SSU rRNA". It matches the Rfam family "Archaeal small subunit ribosomal RNA", at positions 349 to 718 of the family's 1478-position model. Lineage: Archaea; Methanobacteriati; Methanobacteriota; Halobacteria; Halobacteriales; Halobacteriaceae. The record is from RNAcentral.